UCAAGGGUUGUAAGCCCUCCUCUCAGAUAACUCCAUUCCUUUCCACGAUACCAGGGAAGUUUGUCCUCAUGACCAUGGUGAUGCAGGUAGGUCACAAAGUCCAACCACAUGACAAAGAUCCAGUAGGGAAUACCAUAGAGUUUAAGCAUUUGGACAGGACCCAUAACAAAGUUUAAAUAUACAAGCAAUGCAGCCAUUGCAGUCCAACAAGCUGUUGAGGUAAGAACACCUUUUCUCUCAUUUGGGAGGAACAAAUCACUAUCUGGAUGAAAAUGAGAACCCUUUU
RNAcentral lists this unclassified non-coding RNA (286 nucleotides) under Hevea brasiliensis (rubber tree). The record is from RNAcentral. Lineage: Eukaryota; Viridiplantae; Streptophyta; Magnoliopsida; Malpighiales; Euphorbiaceae.